AUGUCCACCGACGCCGACCGUGCCGCCGCCGAGAAAGCUGAAGCCGACAAGAAGGUCGCCGAGGACGCCGCUACUGCCACCAAAGCCGCGGCCUCUGCGUGGCCUACUGGAGGAGUGCUCGAGACGCUUCAAGAGCACUGGAAGAAGAUCUCUGGUAGCAGCGAGACGGCCGCGUUCGCCAACGCUCGCGUGGACUGGAAGGAGACCCCCGAGGCGCACGUCUUCAAGGCCGACCUCCCUGGUGUGAAGAAGGAGGAGGUCAAGGUGGAGGUGGAGGACGGCAACGUGCUCGUCGUCAGCGGCGAGCGCACCAAGGAGAAGGAGGACAAGAACGACAAGUGGCACCGUGUGGAGCGCAGCAGCGGCAAGUUCGUCAGGCGCUUCCGCCUGCCGGAGGACGCCAAGGUGGAGGAGGUGAAGGCCGGGCUGGAGAACGGUGUGCUCACCGUCACCGUGCCCAAGGCAGAGGUCAAGAAGCCCCAGGUGAAGGCCAUCGAAAUCUCCGGCUGA
Molecule: ribosomal RNA, 510 nt
Filed under: Triticum aestivum (bread wheat)
Lineage: Eukaryota; Viridiplantae; Streptophyta; Magnoliopsida; Poales; Poaceae
Description: partial small subunit ribosomal RNA
Source: RNAcentral